AGAGUUUGAUCAUGGCUCAGAACGAACGCUGGCGGCGUGCUUAACACAUGCAAGUCGAACGAGAAAGCUUCCUUCGGGAAGCGAGUAGAGUGGCGCACGGGUGAGUAACGCGUAGGUAAUCUACCCUUAUAUUUGGGAUAACAUCGGGAAACUGGUGCUAAUACCGGAUACCCUUCAUUUCUGCCGGGUUAUGGAGGAAUGGUGGCCUCUCCAUGAAAGCUACCGUAUAGGGAUGAGCCUGCGUACCAUUAGCUAGUAGGCGGGGUAACGGCCCACCUAGGCGACGAUGGUUAGCGGGUCUGAGAGGAUGAUCCGCCACACUGGAACUGGAACACGGACCAGACUCCUACGGGAGGCAGCAGUGAGGAAUAUUGCGCAAUGGGGGAAACCCUGACGCAGCGACGCCGCGUGAGUGAGGAAGGUUUUCGGAUCGUAAAGCUCUGUCAGAAGGGAAGAAGUGUUGCAUGGUUAAUACCCAUGUAAUUUGACGGUACCUUCAGAGGAAGCACCGGCUAACUCCGUGCCAGCAGCCGCGGUAAUACGGAGGGUGCAAGCGUUGUUCGGAAUUACUGGGCGUAAAGGGCGCGUAGGCGGCCCGAUAAGUCAGAUGUGAAAGUCCAUGGCUCAACCGUGGAAGUGCAUUUGAAGCUGUCAGGCUUGAGUAUCGGAGGGGAGUGUGGAAUUCCCGGUGUAGAGGUGAAAUUCGUAGAGAUCGGGAGGAACACCGGUGGCGAAGGCGACACUCUGGACGAAUACUGACGCUGAGGCGCGAAAGCGUGGGGAGCAAACAGGAUUAGAUACCCUGGUAGUCCACGCCGUAAACGAUGUGAACUAGAGGUAGGGGGUGUUGAUCCCUCCUGUCUCGCAGCUAACGCAUUAAGUUCACCGCCUGGGGAGUACGGUCGCAAGAUUAAACUCAAGGAAUUGACGGGGGCCCCACA
RNAcentral lists this ribosomal RNA (941 nucleotides) under uncultured delta proteobacterium. Its description in RNAcentral is "bacterial SSU rRNA". It matches the Rfam family "Bacterial small subunit ribosomal RNA", at positions 8 to 927 of the family's 1533-position model. The record is from RNAcentral. Lineage: Bacteria; Deltaproteobacteria.